ACGCUUUUGGUCCAAACAGAUGAUGAUUGGUGCGUUCAUGGACAAUCUGUGAAAAGUGCUGCCUUAACCUUGUCAUGCUCUGUGCCUCAGCCUGUCUGAAC
Thunnus maccoyii (southern bluefin tuna) is the source of this 101-nucleotide small nucleolar RNA. RefSeq annotates it as small nucleolar RNA U13. NCBI's taxonomy places the organism in Eukaryota, Metazoa, Chordata, Actinopteri, Scombriformes, Scombridae. The transcript has a single exon. The record is from RefSeq and is a predicted model, not a curated record.